Camelus dromedarius (Arabian camel) is the source of this 1842-nucleotide long non-coding RNA. RefSeq lists it as uncharacterized. The record is from RefSeq and is a predicted model, not a curated record. Lineage: Eukaryota; Metazoa; Chordata; Mammalia; Artiodactyla; Camelidae. The transcript has 4 exons.
CGACAGAAUCACAGUCUCUUGGAUGUACUGGGAAGUGGAGGUUCUUCCUAACUUUGUGCACCUGUGGUUUUGAGUGAAAAAAAAUUACCAACAGUUUAUUAAGGUUAAUAGAAAGUAUUCUUUGGUCAACUACAAGUGACAAUAGAUGGACAAAUAUGGCUGAACUGUCUACUGAACGAGACAAGAAAAAGACCAAUUGUGACAAAAGUCAUUGUCAGAUUUGUAGACACUAAGGCUCAAAGCCAGGAACUGGUCAAUAGUUCUAUUCAUUACUGUGGAAAAGGGGAUGUUGGCCAUUGUCCUUGUCACUGAGUAUACUUGGUCCUACGGAGAAAGGGGUUUAGAAAAUCCAUCUGGCACCCUCUGGUCAUCAGUGAGGACUGGAAAGGCCAGAGAAUGCUGCGGUGUGCACAUGCUGGCUGCCACCAGGCUCUCUUCCCCAGUGCGGUCUACGGAAGGAACCUGAGUGGGAAUCCCCUGAAUCACAGACAACCAGAGUGAGUCAUCCCUUUCCAGCCUGCCAGGACCGAGGUGUCACCCUCCCGCACUGGCGGGCGGGGUGGGUUGGCCACUUCUCAAUCAGCAGCCCCUCCCUGCCGAGGCUCCCUGUCCCGUUCUCAACUCUGCAGGCCUGUUGUCAGAAUCUCUCUCUCACACACUCACACACAAAAUGCAUGCGUGAAAAUCCUCUGUAAGUGGCAGUCUGGAACUCGUGGGAGCACUUUAAUGCUGGACGCACGGGCAGGUGUUUGGGGAAUGGCUUAGCCUGUCAGUGCUAAGGGCUGCAGGCAGCUGCCUUCCCAGGAAGCAAGGUCUUUGUCCAGGAAAUCUCUUCUGGAUGCAGAGUGGGGCUGAGGUGGCCCUGAGCCCAGCACUCCCGCACGGUCCCCGAUGCUGAAAGGGUGAGUGAGUUCUGACCCUCCCCAGGGAGUCACUGCAAAAGGCAGGCGAAGCCUUCUUGUUUUUGCCCUGAAGAAGGAGGGGUGCAGUGCUGCAGGUGACCCUCUCUGCAGCAAGAACCAUUUCCUUCUGGGAUGCUGGUGGGUUCACAGGAUGGCCUUGGCCUCCCAGGCCCUGGGGGGAGAAACUCCUUACACCUGAGAGCGCGCUUAGCUGUGGGGCUGGAGGGAAGCCACGUGGAACCUGUAGGAGGGGACAGAGGCCAGGCAGGGGGUUUUCCACAGCUGCUCAUGGCAAACUCAAUCCCUCAGUUCAUGGAACCUGUAUUGGACGCAGGGUAGCCUCGCUGCUGUAUCCCAGGGCCGGGGGAGUUUGGGACGGGGGAUUUCCGACUCCAAACCAAGGAGGGAUUUCGCAGUGUGCUGUGAGCUCUGCUGGCCAAAGUACGGAUGGUUUAAACAUGUAACUUCAAAGCCUGCCUGGUAUGGGUUCCUCGGUCCCUGAAAAGUUCGCGUGGCUUCAGAUGAUCCCCGAGGUCCGGUGCCCAGUGUGCUAUGUGACCUGGGUAAGGAAUCUUGCCUCUCUGAGCCUGUUUCCUUUUCUGCAAAGUAAGGAGAGCCGUCCACAUUGCUGGGUGCUGGCAUGAGAGGAGACGCUGUCCUCAGGUAUUCAGAAAGCCCAUGUUCACCGGUAGAGUGUCCAUUUUGUCCAGACUCUCCUUUAGCAGAUAAGGAAGCGGCCCCUCCUCUGGUCACAUGCUUAGCAGCAGUGGUGGGGUCAACACUCUGCCCUCCUGGAGCUGCCCCCGCUUUUCUGGCCAAGACCACCGCCUCGUUUCUAGAUGUUUCCGUGUGUUUCCAAGUGCCAUACGUUGUGCAUUUUUAGUUUCGUUUGGUGGUAAAAUUGUCACGAUAUGAAAGUCACCAUUUAAACCAUUUUAAA